UUCUCACCAUGUCACGAUUUCUGUAUUUGAUUUGAGACCUCGAUUAAAAAAACAUUGAUUGCAUGAUUUUGCCCGUGGCAGUAACCAUAAAACAUGGCGAAUAUGGCGAAUUUCAAGGAUGAGAAAACAUUAAGCAUUAUGAGACGGUUUUCCAAGGCUGCAUUAUAUGUUAAAACCAUGAAACGAUUAAAAUUGUCGACACAUAUCUUUGUUGUCGAGUGGUCGUUUUCAUCUCAUUUAGACUUAAACAAAUAUAAAUGCAUGUAAUAUCGUGAUUUGACCGCUACGACGCUGUAGCGCUAGAGUGUAAUGCAGCCCUAACAAAUCUGCGAUAGAAGAAGAUGGAUGAAAAAACACAGCGCAGGUUAUGGCGAAGUGCAAAUGAAAGUUUUACAACACUUAAAAACCAAGAAUGCUGUCGUGUGUAAUACAUAAAAGACAGAUAUUGCCUUUCACGGGAGCACAUGGUGCAUGUUGGAGCACUUAGGUGGGAGUGAUUCGGAGUCAUCGGAGAAGAGGACCAAAUCCUCUGAAAGAUGCAGAAAUCCAUGAACAAAAGGGCAAGGACAAAGACAACAUAACCAGAAAAUAUAUUAAUCCCAUCAAAGCUCGUCCAUGAGCCUGUCGUUUCAGGAAGUGAAGUCACAUCUCCUAAAGAGGUUUGUUAAUAAUUUUGUCAAAUUUGUGUCACACGUGUUAUAAUUUGAUCUGAAGUGAAAUUGUAAUUCCUACUAAAUGUGAUUCCGCAGUUAACAUGUUAAAACACCUGUGUGUUAACAGUAUACGGAAAGGCUUGUGUCCUCAUAAACCAUGAGUAAACACACACGUACAAUAGUCACAUGUGUCCUCAUAAACCAUGAGUUAACACACACGUACAAUAGUCACAUGUGUCCUCAUAAAC
Non-coding RNA from Misgurnus anguillicaudatus (oriental weatherfish), 901 nucleotides. The record is from RefSeq and is a predicted model, not a curated record. Lineage: Eukaryota; Metazoa; Chordata; Actinopteri; Cypriniformes; Cobitidae.